CGCAUGUCUUAGAACCAAUUACCGACGUAAAUCGAGGUAUGCCUGAACAUAAAUGAAGAACGAAGGACAAAAAAAUGAUAAAUUCCGAUUUGUCCGUGCGUUUCGUUUCGUUUUCAAUGUCAAGUUUUACAUUCCAUUGUCUUAUUUCUGGUCCAGUUGAAUCCGCGCCAUUUAACUAAGACUUUUUUUUUUUUCCGCCAAAGAAAUCAGUUUGAAGAGAUCGCAAAGAGAAAUCAUAAGAAUAAUAAGCUUAUGCAGAAAAACAGGUAGGUUCUGUUACCCAGCAGUGCGAAAGUAAUAACUAUUUCCAUUGAUUGAUUGCAUGAUACAACUAAUAUUAAAUAUGUAGCCUUCGUUACACUCAGCGAAGUACAGUGAUGAAUGAAUCGAGAUGGAACCAAAUAUAGAAAGUUGUACAUUUAUUAAAGUAAAACAAGAAUUGGGGAAAAAUUCAUACAGCAUCUAUAAGAAGAACCAUAUGUAUGUUAUUGUUAAUAUAUCUAAUGAGCGAAGUAUUUAAAAGUUGAUAAAUAUUGCAGUGAAAAAAAAUAAUAGUAAAAUACCAUUAUUUGCUUUAUUUCGUGUUUUCCAUAUCGGUAUGGGAAGUAUAAGUAAUAAAUUCACAAAGAAAUAUAAAUAAUUGGCGAUCUUUCGUCUCUAGUAGACCUUUCCGUCGAUUUCCGUAAAAAAAUUUUUUUUUUUACAUAUGGGCUUGCGGGAACUUUUGAAGUAAUAUACAUACAUAUACACAUACACCGAGUAAAAAAUUUCAGUUAUCUCUUUCUUUCACACAUUACUCUGUCUGUCUCUUCACGCACACUAACAGAAGCACUUCACUUACACAACAUACUGUUUGUCUCCCACACCCCAUCAAACACACACACAUGUACAUCAAUGUUUCCCAUGCACGGUAACUUCAAAAGAACUUCCCUCGUCAUACAAUCGCUUUCUCUUACUCUCUUUCGCUCUCAUUACUUCAAAAGUUCCCGCAAGCCCAUAUGUAAAAAAAAAAAAAGAAUUUUUACGGAAAUCGACGGAAAGGUCUACUAGAGACGAAAGAUUGCCAAUUGCCAAUAAUUAUUUUAGCCAGCAGUGGGAAAGUAAUAACUGAUUUCAUUGAUUGUAUAAUAUAACUAGUAUUAAAUAUGUAGCCUUUACUAUACUUACCGAAGUAUGGUGAUGAUUAUGUAGAACUACAAAGGUGUGACUGACUCUUUGACUUUGUUUCCCUAUAACUUUCUUCAAAUCGCACGUUUUUUAACGAUUUUUUGUUCAGGGUACAUUUCAGAUUAAGAAGAUUACGAUUAUAUAUAGAGGAAAAAAUUGUAAAAUCUAAAUUUUUCACGAAGCUUCAAAUGAUUCCCCACAGCUUGCUUUAAAAUGCAUAUUUUUUAACGAAAUUUUUCACAUACGUUGUAGAUAAUCUAGAUUGCGAUUAUACUGAGAGAAAAAUUGUAAAACAAAAAAAAAAAAAAUUCCAACCAGUUUCGGAUAAUCCCUCCAUCUGAUCUUGUUUGCUCAGAACUUUCUUUGAAAUGUUUUUUUUUUUUUUUUUCUCUCAUUAAUUUUUCCAGAGAUUACUUUUAAAUGAUGUAGAAUACGAUUACGCGAGGGGGGGGGGGGGAAUAAUCAGAAAAAGAUAUUUUGCAGGAAUAAUUCUUUUUUGGAACAAUGGAUCUCGAAACACAGGGCGGCGAGUUGGCAGAAUCGUUGGCACGCCGGGCCAAAUGCUUAGCGGCAUUUCGCCCAUUUUAAAGUUCUGAGUUCAAAUUCCGCCGGGUUCUACUUUGCCUUUCAUCCUCUGGAGAUCGAUAAAAUGGGAGUCAGUUGAGCUCUGGGAUCGAUGUAAUCGACUUACUCCUUCCCCCUUCCCCCAAGCUUGCUGGCCUUGUGCCAAAAUUUGAAACUAAUAUUUAUAGUAUUAUGUUUCGAGAUUCACUGUUCCAAAAAAAAAAAAUACAUUUAGUUCACAUUCCCUCGACACUAACAAAGGGAUAUGGGUUCGACUCCAACAUGGAUAGGAAAGCCUUUUUACUGUCGAGGACUUAUAUGCCCCUUUAUUAAACUACUUUCCUUAGUCAUUGCACAGUGAUCGCCAAAAGCUUUAAGCUUAUAUAAAAAUACCGUUAUUAUUAUUUAGAGAAUUGUAAACUCGGCGCUACAUACAUACAUACAAAGGGCUUCUUUCAGUUUCUAUUUACCAAAUCUACUCAGCCCUAGGCAAUCGUAAAAGACAUUGCCCCAAGGUGCCAUGUUUGAUGGGCUUCUUUCAGUUUCCGUUUACUGUAUCUACUUACAAGGCUUUGGUCAACUAGCAGUCAUCUUGGGUUCAUGCAAUUUGUGUAAAUUUUAAAAAAAAAGUGUUGAGGUAAUAGUAUAUCAGUAUAUAAAUGUAUUAACCUGCGUAUCUUACACUGUUUAUUUAUAAUUUCAGAUUGGCUGAUGGCCCUGGUAUCAGUGAAUCAUUUACAUCAGACAAAUCAAUUACAGAGGUUAUGCAAAAUAUUGAAGCAGAAAUAACCUUGUGUGUAUAAAUCCAUGGGAGAAUUUAUGUGAAAUGUUGCUUCUGAACUAAGAUAAGAAAAGCAAAAAAUCUUUACUUUCACUGUCGAAAAUAUUACAAGAUGAGUUUGCAUACUGCUCUUAACUAAAAACAUUUGGAUAAUUUGACAAAGGCUCUUGCAUCAUCUACAGAUAUCAAUGGCAAUCCGUGUUGAUGAUAAAAUAUAGCAGUAGAAAUAUAUAUAUAUAUUACGGAGAUGUACUUGCAUAGCAAGUGAUUUGAUCUGAGAUUGUGUGCUGGAACAAAAACAAUUGCAGCGUGGAAGGUGUUUGUAAGCCAUUUAAGAAACACACAAAAGCCGUUCGAUUCACUUCAACAUUUAAGUUUAAUUUGUCAAAAUAUUUUCGUCACUUUAAGACCGCCACCUGUUCACUGACAAAAAUCCAUGC
RNAcentral lists this long non-coding RNA (2952 nucleotides) under Octopus vulgaris (common octopus). The record is from RNAcentral. Lineage: Eukaryota; Metazoa; Mollusca; Cephalopoda; Octopoda; Octopodidae.